AGCGCAGGCGGUACGGCAAGUCUGAUGUGAAAGCCCGGGGCUCAACCCCGGUACUGCAUUGGAAACUGUCGAACUAGAGUGUCGGAGGGGUAAGUGGAAUUCCUAGUGUAGCGGUGAAAUGCGUAGAUAUUAGGAGGAACACCAGUGGCGAAGGCGGCUUACUGGACGAUAACUGACGCUGAGGCUCGAAAGCGUGGGGAGCAAACA
RNAcentral lists this ribosomal RNA (207 nucleotides) under uncultured bacterium. RNAcentral describes it as "partial 16S ribosomal RNA". It matches the Rfam family "Bacterial small subunit ribosomal RNA", at positions 568 to 774 of the family's 1533-position model. The record is from RNAcentral.